ACAGUAAGGUUUUUACAUACAGUAGUACAUAUUACAUACGUACAUAACUUUUUUUUACAGGAAUUUCCAACCAAGUUUGAUUAUGUACAUAUGUACAUGUUAUAAACCACUGUACGUAUGGUUACUGUAUGUAACUUACUAAACAUACAUAAACACCCCCUGACUUAACUUUGAUACUUUUUUGGUACAUUCCAGAAACCCAGGACCCCCUCCAUGAUGCAGGCUAUGGGGGCCACAUAAAACUUUGUCCAGGGUUACUACAUAACAUAGAACGACAACUGUAAACUAUGUACUACUGUACUAAAGAACCCCCUGAAUGAUGUAGGCUAUGGGGCCACAUAAGACUUUGUCCAUCCAGGGUUACAUUGACUGAGAACUUUAAACUAAAGAACCCCCUGAAUGAUGUAGGCUAUGGGGCCACAUAAGACUUUGUCCAUCCAGGGUUACAUUGACUGAGAACUUUAAACUAAAGAACCCCCUGAAUGAUGUAGGCUAUGGGGCCACAUAAGACUUUGUCCAUCCAGGGUUACAUUGACCGAGAACUUUAAACUAAAGAACCCCCUGAAUGAUGUAGGCUAUGGGGCCACAUAAGACUUUGUCCAUCCAGGGUUAUAUUGAAAGACAACUUUAAACUAAAGAGCUACCAGACUGGGAUUUUAGUGUAUCAAGGAUCUAACAAAGUGUGCAAUGCAUGUGUAUACGUAUACAGUGACAGUGUUUAGUGUAUACCCUAAGGAUUAAGUGUAGUGUACAUUGUGCUUUUUAGUGUCACAAGAGUUUAAUAAAGAAUUAUACCUUCAAGAA
Molecule: long non-coding RNA, 804 nt
Organism: Macrobrachium nipponense
Lineage: Eukaryota; Metazoa; Arthropoda; Malacostraca; Decapoda; Palaemonidae
Exons: 6
Source: RefSeq, a predicted model, not a curated record